RNAcentral lists this ribosomal RNA (426 nucleotides) under Macrostylis daniae. Its description in RNAcentral is "partial 16S ribosomal RNA". It matches the Rfam family "Bacterial large subunit ribosomal RNA", at positions 1955 to 2619 of the family's 2925-position model. The record is from RNAcentral. Lineage: Eukaryota; Metazoa; Arthropoda; Malacostraca; Isopoda; Macrostylidae.
GGUAGCAUAAUCAUUUGUCCUAUAAUAGAGGGCUGGGAUGAACGAGUAAACGAUACUUGCACUUUUUUAGUUAAUUUAUAGAAAUUAAUAUUUAUGUUAAAAUGCAUAACUUCUUAGAUAGACGAUAAGACCCUAUAAAACUUUAUUUAUACCUGUAUAGUAUUUUUAGUAAGACAUAUUAAAUAGGGGUGAAUUGGGCUGGGGCGGCAACUAAAAUUCAUUAGAAUAGAAAACACUAAUUAGUGAAUAGAAAGAUCUUUCAUGGAUCUAGACUAAGUUACUUUAGGGAUAACAGCGCAAUUUUUUAUACCCCAGGGUAUAAAAAGACUUGCGACCUCGAUGUUGAAUUGGGGGGCCAGUUUUAUUAUUUAAGACAUGGGGGUCUGUUCGACCCAUGAUUCCUCACACGAUUUGAGUUCAGACCGG